AUGUUCUACAGGACAAGAAAAAUCAAGGCAACAAAAAAUUACCAGAUUGUGACACUGGUUUUCUGGUGCCGCGGGUCCGGGUUCGAUUUUGGGAGUUUUGGAUUGAGCUGGGUUCGCCAAAGACCCGGGAAGGCGCUGGAAUUCGUCGCACUGAUCAGCAGCAGCGGUGGCUACACCGCCUACGCGCCGUCGGUCAAGUGCCGGUUCAGGAUCUCCAGGGACAACGGGCAGAGCUCGGUGACGCUGACCAUGAACAACCUCAAGGACGAGGAUUCCGGCGCCUAUUUCUGCGCCAAGGGUUCUGAUGCUGAUGCUACACGACGCUCUUCCGAUCUAUGCUGA
Ficedula albicollis (Collared flycatcher) is the source of this 342-nucleotide non-coding RNA. Lineage: Eukaryota; Metazoa; Chordata; Aves; Passeriformes; Muscicapidae. The record is from the annotation of a RefSeq genome assembly.